UGAGAUCGGGUGAAGUUAAACGUACUUACAGGGUAAGGGUAAAAUCCUGUAAUCCCGGAAGGACGACCAGUGGCCGAAAGCGUUUAACUAGAACGAAUCUGACGGUAAGGAACGAAGGCUAGGGUAGCAAACCGGAUUAGAUACCCUGGCAGUCCUAGCUGUAAACAUUGCCCAUUUGAUGCUGCUUUCCCGUUGAGGGAAGGCAGUGUCGGAGCGAAGGUGUUAAAUGGGCCGCUUGGGAAGUAUGGUCGCAAGACUGAAACUUAAAGGAAUUGGCGGGGGAGCACCGCAACGGGAGGAAUGUGCGGUUUAAUUGGAUUCAACGCCGGAAAACUCACCGGGAACGACCUGUGCAUGAGAGUCAACUUGACGAGCUUACUCGAUAGCAGGAGAGGUGGUGCAUGGCCGUCGUCAGCUCGUACCGUAGGGCGUUCACUUAAGUGUGAUUACGAGCGUGACCCACAUCUUUUAUUGCAAAUGUAUAUGGGAAUAUGCAUGCACUUUAGA
Molecule: ribosomal RNA, 507 nt
Filed under: uncultured bacterium
Lineage: Bacteria
Description: bacterial SSU rRNA
Rfam family: Archaeal small subunit ribosomal RNA
Source: RNAcentral